AAGGGGGCUAGCGUUGCUCGGAAUCACUGGGCGUAAAGCGCACGUAGGCGGAUUGUUAAGUCAGGGGUGAAAUCCUGGAGCUCAACUCCAGAACUGCCUUUGAUACUGAGGAUCUUGAGUUCGGGAGAGGUGAGUGGAACUGCGAGUGUAGAGGUGAAAUUCGUAGAUAUUCGCAAGAACACCAGUGGCGAAGGCGGCUCACUGGCCCGAUACUGACGCUGAGGCACGAAAGCGUGGGGAGCAAACAGG
RNAcentral lists this ribosomal RNA (249 nucleotides) under uncultured bacterium. Its description in RNAcentral is "partial 16S ribosomal RNA". It matches the Rfam family "Bacterial small subunit ribosomal RNA", at positions 528 to 776 of the family's 1533-position model. The record is from RNAcentral.